AGAGUUUGAUCCUGGCUCAGAACGAACGCUGGCGGCGUGCCUAACACAUGCAAGUCAAACGGUUGGUAGCAAUACUGACAGUGGCGCACGGGUGAGUAAAGCAUGGGUGAUCUGCCUUUUAGUUGGGGAUAACUAUACGAAAGUGUAGCUAAUACCGGAUAAGCAGUACUGAGUGAGAUAGGUACUGGAAAGUUGGGGACCGUAAGGCCUGAUGCUGAGAGAGGAGCUCAUGUCCCAUUAGUUAGUUGGUUGGGUAAAGGCUGACCAAGACGUAGAUGGGUAACUGGUCUGAGAGGACGAUCAGUCACACUGGAACUGAGACACGGUCCAGACUCCUACGGGAGGCAGCAGUGGGGAAUAUUGCACAAUGGAGGAAACUCUGAUGCAGCAACGCCGCGUGAGUGAAGAAGGCCUUAGGGUUGUAAAGCUCUUUCGGCUGGGAAGAAGUGUGUUUUGUUUAAGAGAUGAGACAUGUGAUGGUACCAGAAUAAGAAGCACCGGCAAACUUCGUGCCAGCAGCCGCGGUAAUACGAAGGGUGCGAGCGUUGUUCGGAAUUAUUGGGUGUAAAGGGUUCGUAGGCGGGGAUAUAAGUUGAGUGUGAAACUCCAGAGCUUAACUUUGGAAGUGCAUUCAAGACUGUGUUUCUUGAGUAUUGGAGGGGGUGAUGGAAUUGCUGGUGUAGGAGUGACAUCCGUAGAGAUCAGCAGGAACGCCGGAGGCGAAAGCGAUUACCUGGCCGAAUACUGACGCUGAGGAACGAAAGCGUGGGGAUCAAACAGGAUUAGAUACCCUGGUAGUCCACGCCGUAAACGAUGUUCACUAGGUGUUGGGGGUAUUGACCCCCUCAGUGCCGCAGUUAACGCAUUAAGUGAACCGCCUGGGGAGUACGGUCGCAAGACUAAAACUCAAAGGAAUUGACGGGGGCCCGCACAAGCGGUGGAGUAUGUGGUUUAAUUCGAUGCAACGCGAAGAACCUUACCUGGGCUUGACAUUCCGGGAGCCCCCUGGAAACAGGGGGGUGCCCUUUGGGGAACCCGGUGACAGGUGCUGCAUGGCUGUCGUCAGCUCGUGUCGUGAGAUGUUGGGUUAAGUCCCGCAACGAGCGCAACCCUUGUCCUUAGUUGCUACGCAAGGGCACUCUAAGGAAACUGCCGGUGUUAAGCCGGAGGAAGGUGGGGAUGACGUCAAGUCCUCAUGGCCUUUAUGCCCAGGGCUACACACGUACUACAAUGGACGGUACAAAGAGCUGCAAACCCGCGAGGGUAAGCCAAUCUCAAAAAGCCGUUCUCAGUUCGGAUUGGAGUCUGCAACUCGACUCUAUGAAGUCGGAAUCGCUAGUAAUCGCGGAUCAGCAUGCCGCGGUGAAUACGUUCCCGGGCCUUGUACACACCGCCCGUCACACCCUGAAAGUUGAUUGCACCAGAAGUCGUUGGGCUAACUUCUAUUUAUAGAGGAGGCAGGCGCCUACGGUGUGGUUGGUGAUUGGGGUGAAGUCGUAACAAGGUAACC
Molecule: ribosomal RNA, 1510 nt
Filed under: uncultured bacterium
Lineage: Bacteria
Description: 16S ribosomal RNA
Rfam family: Bacterial small subunit ribosomal RNA
Source: RNAcentral